Molecule: ribosomal RNA, 367 nt
Filed under: uncultured eukaryote
Lineage: Eukaryota
Description: partial 18S ribosomal RNA
Rfam family: Eukaryotic small subunit ribosomal RNA
Source: RNAcentral
CAAUAGCGUAUAUUAAAGUUGUUGCAGUUAAAAAGCUCGUAGUUGAAGAUACGAACGCUUACACUAGAACAAAGUUUCCGGUGUCUGCGUUCACUUUUCGCAAAGACAGCCUGGCCCAUUAGUUUGGGUCUUGUUUGAGUUGCGUCAUUUACUGUGAACAAAUUAGGGUGUUUAAAGCGGGCCUACGUUUGAAUACACUAGCAUGGAAUAAUAAGAUAUGAUCUUGGUCGUAUUUUGUUGGUGACUACCAAGAUAAUGAUUGAUAGAAACUGUUGUGGGUAUUCGUAUGAGCAUGUCAGAGGUGAAAUUCUUGGAUUUUGAUCAGACGAACUACUGCGAAAGUAUUUACCAAGGAUGUUUUCAUUAA